This 253-nucleotide ribosomal RNA is filed under the name uncultured bacterium. RNAcentral's name for it is "partial 16S ribosomal RNA". It matches the Rfam family "Bacterial small subunit ribosomal RNA", at positions 524 to 776 of the family's 1533-position model. The record is from RNAcentral.
UACGGAGGGUGCAACCGUUGCUCGGAAUCAUUGGGCGUAAAGCGCACGUAGGCGGACCGCUAAGUCGGAUGUGAAAGCCCUCGGCUUAACCGAGGAAGUGCAUUCGAAACUGACAGUCUUGAGUAUGGAAGAGGGUCGCGGAAUUCCCGGUGUAGAGGUGAAAUUCGUAGAUAUCGGGAGGAACACCAGUGGCGAAGGCGGCGACCUGGGCCAAUACUGACGCUGAGGUGCGAAAGCGUGGGGAGCAAACAGG